GAUGAAGAACGUAGCGAAAUGCGAUAAGUAGUGUGAAUUGCAGAAUUCAGUGAAUCAUCGAAUCUUUGAACGCACAUUGCGCCCCUUGGUAUUCCAUGGGGCAUGCCUGUUCGAGCGUCAUUUGUACCUUCAAGCUCUGCUUGGUGUUGGGUGUUUGUCUCGCCUCUGCGUGUAGACUCGCCUCAAAACAAUUGGCAGCCGGCGGAUUGAUUUCGGAGCGCAGUACAUCUCGCGCUUUGCACUCAUAACGACGACGUCCAAAAGUACAUUUUUACACUCUUGACCUCGGAUCAGGUAGGGAUACCCGCUGAACUUAAGCAUAUCAAUAAGCGGAGGA
This 337-nucleotide unclassified non-coding RNA is filed under the name soil metagenome. RNAcentral's name for it is "partial contains 5.8S ribosomal RNA, internal transcribed spacer 2, and large subunit ribosomal RNA". The stretch from base 1 to 120 matches the Rfam family "5.8S ribosomal RNA", at positions 35 to 154 of the family's 154-position model. The record is from RNAcentral.